ACAGAAGGCUUUACAGAAACAGGAACAGAAGCUGCUCUUUGCAGAAGGGUCCUGGGGGUCAAUAUAGUCACGAUUGCUCAACUCUUCAUUAAGCUACAGGUUUAUAGGUUAUUUGAUAAUAAGUCCAGAAUGCAGCUGCUGUAGGAGCUUCUAAUGCACUUCUCUAUUACUUCAAGAACACUGUGUAUAAUAAUAAACUCUACAGAAAUAAACCAAAUCACAAGAAGCUUUCAGGUCUGGAGGCUGACAUUUCUCAAGACAGAUGAAGAACCUGAGGCUCACCUUGCUUAAGUGACUUGAGCAGCUUCACGCAUCUUGUAAGUAGUAGAGACAGAGUCAAAACCAGAUCUUCCUGCCCUCUCUAUCAUAUAAACCACUUACACUGAAUUACAAAGUGAAACUGAUCUAUGGUGAAUUGUACUAAUGUUCUGCUUCUGCCAUGGGCACCAGAGGAGAUACCUUUCUUUGUUGACACUAAUCUCAAAGGCUAAAUUAGAUCCCCCAAACUCAUUUCCAUUAAUAACAUGUCAAAGGCUUGUGUCAUGCGUUAAUUUAUCCAAAGUGAUCUUGAUUCUAUUUACAUUUUGGUGCCACCUUUUAAUGUCACCAUUUUUAUAAAUUAAAUAUGUAAUAUAUAAAGCCAGUCUUCACUUACUGAUAUGUUAAUUUUUAACCCAAACUUCUUAGUCUGACAUUCCAGCAAUACCGGAGCAUUGACAGUUGAUAAUAGCUCUAUGUGCUACCUCUCCAAGAAACAAAUUUGCAUUUUAACCUGCCCCUUCAAUGGCUGAACUUCAAAGGGUCACUGAUGAAUGCCACAGCAGGUUGGUGGGAAUAUAAUUCUUUUUAUGGAUAAUAUUUGUGUGUGUAUGUGUGUGUGUGUGUUAAAUCCUACCACAUAAGUCACUAACCUAUGGGUAAGGCCAGUCUUGACCUAAAAUGAGGAAUUCUGUAAAAUUUCAAAUGCAAAUCACAUUUUAUUUUUGAUGUUAGAGAAAACUGCAAAUUGGAACAGCAGAGCUGUGCCUCUGGCCAUUUCCUGGAACUACAGAGGAGCAACUUGCCCCGGUUUCCAGUGGGUGAUGUUCCUCUUCUGCCACAGUCCCUGGCGAUGUUGAUGUGAUUGCCAUCAGAGCUCAGAAGCACAGAGCAGAAUCAUCCCCUGGAGGAGGAUUCCCUUCAGUGUAAGAAGUUCUUACAGAAUUAAUCCUCAAAGACUGUGGGUGGACUCUGCCAGGUUUUUCCCCGGGUGUACCAGAAGAGAGGAAGAGCCCUCAAAUACAGGAAAGUGCUCUUUUCAGUGACAGUAGUUCUUUUGGGCCCUGUGGCUAAGUGUGCUCCCACCCCAGCAGUAAGAUCACAGCUAAUCCUGAGAGGCAAGAGCUCACACCAGGCUACUGAAAGAAAAAGUGUCCUUUGUGGAUUGCAAGAGGAACUGGGACACACUGCUGGAAAUGAAGUGGCAGGUCAUAAACUAUCAUAAACUCAGGAGGAGAGGUGUUCCUUUUUGAGACACUCAUCACAACUAGAGAGAAUGCAGCUAAGAAAAUGCAGUCUUUAGGGGGACCUGGACUGUUGAAGUAUUUGAGCUAUUCGGAGGAAAUAGAAACUUGGAAGAGAUCUUUGUUCCACUAUUAUUUGGCAGCCCCUUACCCGCAGCUGCCAUUACUCCAGAUUCUCUCUGAUGAUCCUGCAUCAGGAGAAUGAGUUGACUGGGCACCACUGGGAAAUGUGGGCAGCUCCAGGCUGAACUAGAGAAGGGGCAUGUCAAAGGUCACUUAUUUGUGGCUUGACCCUUUGGAGGCCAGAUGUAAGAAUCAAUUUCUCACAGGUCCCAUGCUAACGCUUUUCAUAUUUAUUUCCAUCUGAGACUCACUUAGGCUAGGCAAAUAUCCCAUGGGUCUGUACCUCUCCAGUGCUUUCUUGCUCAUGUAAAAUUAGCUCAUUGGAAUGAAUAAAGAGAAUGGUAUUACUUUGGCUCGAACACG
RNAcentral lists this long non-coding RNA (1988 nucleotides) under Homo sapiens (human). RNAcentral describes it as "HSALNT0375623". Lineage: Eukaryota; Metazoa; Chordata; Mammalia; Primates; Hominidae. The record is from RNAcentral.